RNAcentral lists this ribosomal RNA (216 nucleotides) under uncultured bacterium. RNAcentral describes it as "partial 16S ribosomal RNA". It matches the Rfam family "Bacterial small subunit ribosomal RNA", at positions 1285 to 1500 of the family's 1533-position model. The record is from RNAcentral.
UACUCAGUUCGGAUUGCAGGCUGCAACUCGCCUGUAUGAAGUCGGAAUUGCUAGUAAUCGCGGAUCAGCAUGCCGCGGUGAAUACGUUCCCGGGCCUUGUACACACCGCCCGUCACACCAUGAGAGCCGGGAACACCCGAAGUCCGUAGUCUAACCGCAAGGAGGACGCGGCCGAAGGUGGGUUUGGUAAUUGGGGUGAAGUCGUAACAAGGUACC